CCUGGCGGCCGUAGCGCGGUGGUCCCACCUGACCCCAUGCCGAACUCAGAAGUGAAACGCCGUAGCGCCGAUGGUAGUGUGG
RNAcentral lists this ribosomal RNA (82 nucleotides) under Escherichia coli. RNAcentral also lists the same sequence under 4 other names. The record is from RNAcentral. Lineage: Bacteria; Pseudomonadati; Pseudomonadota; Gammaproteobacteria; Enterobacterales; Enterobacteriaceae.